CGGCAGACGGGAGAGUAACACGCGGGAACGUACCCUUUGGUUCGGAACAACCCAGGGAAACUUGGGCUAAUACCGGAUAAGUCCGUAAGGAGAAAGAUUUAUCGCCAAUGGAUCGGCCCGCGUCUGAUUAGCUAGUUGGUGAGGUAAUGGUUCACCAAGGCGUCGAUCGGUAGCUGGUCUGAGAGGAUGAUCAGCCACACUGGGAUUGAGAACGGCCCAG
RNAcentral lists this ribosomal RNA (220 nucleotides) under uncultured bacterium. Its description in RNAcentral is "partial 16S ribosomal RNA". It matches the Rfam family "Bacterial small subunit ribosomal RNA", at positions 96 to 334 of the family's 1533-position model. The record is from RNAcentral.